GUCCUUUUGAUAAUAAUUUAAGGUCUAAUCUGCUCAGUGAGGAGUUAAAUAGCCGCAGUAUUUUGACUGUGCAAAGGUAGCGUGAUAAUUAGUCUCUUAAUUAGGGACUUGUAUGAAUGAUUGGACAAGAAAAUUUCUGUCUCUUUUUAAUUUUUUGUGAAUUUUAUUUUUAAGUUAAAAUGCUUAAAUAUUUGUAAAAGACGAGAAGACCCCAUAGAGUUUUAUUUUCAUAAGUUUUUAGAAUAAUAAUUAAAAUUGAAAAAUUAGUUGGGGUGACUAAAAGAUUUAAUUAACUCUUUUAAUUUAAAUCAUUGAUUUAUGAAUAUAAAGUCUAAUUUUUUUAAAUUUAAAUUAAAUUACCUUGGGGAUAACAGCGUAAUUUCUUUUUAGAGUUCUUAUCAAAUAAGAAGAUUGCGACCUCGAUGUUGGAUUAAAAUUUAUUUUAGGUGUAGAAGCUUAAAAAUUAAGUCUGUUCGACUUUUAUAAUUUUACA
This 493-nucleotide ribosomal RNA is filed under the name Lampyris noctiluca. RNAcentral describes it as "partial 16S ribosomal RNA". It matches the Rfam family "Bacterial large subunit ribosomal RNA", at positions 1819 to 2600 of the family's 2925-position model. The record is from RNAcentral. Lineage: Eukaryota; Metazoa; Arthropoda; Insecta; Coleoptera; Lampyridae.